Molecule: RNA transcript, 2718 nt
Organism: Elaeis guineensis (African oil palm)
Lineage: Eukaryota; Viridiplantae; Streptophyta; Magnoliopsida; Arecales; Arecaceae
Gene name: photosystem II stability/assembly factor HCF136, chloroplastic
Source: RefSeq, a predicted model, not a curated record
AAGAAGGAGCGAACAGCAGAAAGGGGGCGAAAACCAAGAAACCAAAAACCUCGGGGAAGCUCUUCGAUGGCAGCCUUCACCUCACGGAUUCAAACCCCCUCCUUCUCAAACCCUCCCUCUUGUCUUCCUCCUCCUCCUACUCCAAUUUGAAACGGCGCGGCCGCCGUCUCCUCCCACGCGCCUCCCUCCGCUACCCCACUUCCAAGACUCGCUGCCAGUUACCACCCAUCCCCCUCGCGCUAGCCCCCCUCGUCGGCCCCCAUCCGCCGCCGGCAAGGUCCGACGAGCCCGCCCUCUCCGAGUGGGAGCGCGUCUACCUCACCAUCGACCCCGGCGUCGUCCUCCUCGACAUUGCCUUCGUCCCCGACGACUUGAACCAUGGUCUCUCUGCGAUCAUCCAAUCUCUCCUUUACCGUCUCUCUGUUCCUCCCAACCCGAUUUCUUGGAACUCCUUGAUUUUUAAAACCUUUUAUUAGUUCUUGAAAAUCGGUAAAUUGCAUUGUUAUUUUCUUUAAUCUUGAAAGAAAUUGAGGGUAAAACAUCGUAAAAUAAUCCAAGAAUCGCUAGCUAUUUGGUUAUAACUAUUUGCUGCUUAAUUUAUUAUUCUGUCUGUGAAUCUUGAUUUGAAAUUUUAUUCUAAAGGGACCGAGCAACCAAAUCUCAUCCGGCAUUUCUGAUUGUGAAAUUGUCAUGAAGAUGCCAACUUAUCAAGGUGGUAAAAUUCUUGGCAGGAAGACUAAGUCACCUGGCAUCGAAUCCCGCCUUCACUAGGUUUGGAGGUUUAGCGGUAUUUGGGGAGAGGGCUGCCCCGUUGUGUGGUUUAUUGCCUGCAGGUCAUCCGAUCUGGACAAUAAUUUUUUUUUAAAAAAAAAUCAGUGGAAACUACUAACUCUGUAUUUUAUGGCUUGACAAGCUCCCCACAACAUAUCAAUUUUAACAAGCUUUAUGCUACUUGCAUGUCGUCCAUGUUGGGAACUUGUUUUCGUGUAAAAAUAUGGAGUUUACAUGCUUCCUCCUGAGUUCAGCUCUGCUUAGGUUUUCCCUGUUCUUCUGGUGACAAAAAGACCCAUCUCUGGUCUUGUUUGCAUCUUACAUGACUUGGUAAAUUGAUUGUCCCAUACAUCAAUUAGUUGUUCUUCAAAGUUUUACCACGCAUUGACACAAGCAAACUCAUCUUUGCUACAAUGAACUCGUAGUUAUGUGGUAUCAUCUUACUUAUAAAGUCUCCCAAUGCCAAGUAAUGUUUGUCAACAAUAUUAACUCACAUUUCCAUUUUAUUCUCCAUUCCCAGGUUUUAUUAAAUAUUAUAAUCAACAUCCCAUCCUCUAGUUUGUUUCAGCUAAGGUUUUUACGAAUCUUAUGCAACUCUUCAGCCACAGUUCCAAGUUCACUUUUAUAAAUAUUUCUGUAAAAUUGUAAUGCAAGUAUUGAUGUCUAGAAGUUCUUUUAGGGGUUUGUAUGGAUGUCUGCUUACCACGUUCUAUGAUAUCUCAUACAGAUAAGAGUGUAUGGUGAAGCAUCUGAGAAGGUGGAGGAAGGAUACUGCGAGGAUCAGAGAAAUCCUUUCAUCCUGCUAUUCCACAAUUUUUGGGAUACUAUAAUCCUUCAUGGUAUCCCAAAAAUCUUGGAAUUGCUGGAUCAGCUGCCAUCUCAAUAAAUCUAACUUCUUACUUCCUCUCUCCCCUCAAGUUGUUCAAAAUUUAGGUUUCUUCAUUUCUUUGCUUUGAUGGAUUGACUUAGUUUGUACAAUGUUAAUCACCUUUAUGGUUCAUAAACUUUUAGUUUAGUUUAGUUGAACAAUUUAAAGGAAGAAUUUGAUAUUACGGGCAUAUUGUGGUCCUACAUCCUUUUCCAACCAAAUUUGCAUGCACAUUCUUUAAAAAUUAAAUUAAGAAGGCGUAGUCCAUGUCCUUCAAGUUUUCUAUUGGGAACAAGGCAAAUGAUACUGGAGACAAAAGAUGGAGGCACCACUUGGUUUCUGCGCUCCAUCCUUUCUGCAGAAGAUGACGACUUUAACUACAGAUUCAAUUCCAUAAGCUUCAAGGGAAGAAAGGUUGGAUUGUUGGAAAACCUGCAAUUUUGUUAUAUACAUCAGAUGCUGGAGAAAGCUGGGAAAGAAUACCUUUGAGUGUGCAACUUCCUGGAGAUUUUGCAUUUUCAGCCAAAACUCCAAAACUUGGACUGACAUUGUGAAAAUCGAGUUCAAGGGCUACGAAGAUCUCCACAGCUGUGCACUUUCACAAUUCUAUUUUAAUAUUGCAUUAUCUCAUAUAGAUAUAAGUAACCAAUGUAUAAACAUGCUACUUGGUGUGUUAAUCACUUUGAGCUUACCAAAAAGGUACUUUUAGAUAACUUUUGCUUUAUGUCAUUCUCAUGAAGUUAUAUUAACAUACUAUUAUGUAUUAUGCAGAACAGUCUGUAGUGGCAUUAGUGGUGUCAGCUACCAUACAGGAACCUUUAACACAGUAAACUGCUCUCCUUACGGCAACUAUGUUGCUUUCUCAAGUCGUGGGAACUUCUACUUAACCUGGGAGGCUGGGCAGCCAUACUGGCAACCACACAACAGAGCAGUUGCAAGGAGAAUUCAAUAUAUGGGAUGGAGGGUUGAUGGUGGCUUGUGGCUUCUAGUGCAUGGUGGUGGACUUUACCUCAGUAAAUGCACCAGGAUUUAUCACGGACGACAAAGGUUUUGCACUAGGGAGUGAUGGUGUCUUGCUG